AUGAACGCUAGCGAUAGGCUUAACACAUGCAAGUCGCGGGGCAGCACAAGGUAGCUUGCUAUCUGGGUGGCGACCGGCGCACGGGUGCGUAACGCGUAUGCAACUUGCCCUAUACAGGAGGAUAACCCGUCGAAAGACGGACUAAUACUGCGUAUGCUCACAACUUGGCAUCAAGUGGUGAGGAAAGAAAUUCGGUAUAGGAUAGGCAUGCGUCCCAUUAGCUUGUUGGUGAGGUAACGGCUCACCAAGGCAACGAUGGGUAGGGGAACUGAGAGGUUUAUCCCCCACACUGGUACUGAGACACGGACCAGACUCCUACGGGAGGCAGCAGUGAGGAAUAUUGGUCAAUGGGCGCGAGCCUGAACCAGCCAAGUCGCGUGAAGGAUGACUGUCUUAUGGAUUGUAAACUUCUUUUAUACGGGAAUAACAAGAGUCACGUGUGACUCCCUGCAUGUACCGUAUGAAUAAGCAUCGGCUAACUCCGUG
RNAcentral lists this ribosomal RNA (486 nucleotides) under uncultured bacterium. RNAcentral describes it as "partial 16S ribosomal RNA". It matches the Rfam family "Bacterial small subunit ribosomal RNA", at positions 29 to 507 of the family's 1533-position model. The record is from RNAcentral.